CAGCCGCCGCGGUAAUGCGAAGGGUGCAAGCGUUAAUCGGAAUUACUGGGCGUAAAGCGUGCGCAGGCGGUUGUGUAAGACAGGUGUGAAAUCCCCGGGCUUAACCUGGGAACUGCGCUUGUGACUGCACAGCUAGAGUAUGGCAGAGGGGGGUGGAAUUCCACGUGUAGCAGUGAAAUGCGUAGAGAUGUGGAGGAACACCGAUGGCGGAGGCAGCCCCCUGGGCCAAUACUGACGCUCAUGCACGAAAGCGUGGGGAGCAAACAGGAUUAGAUACCCCUGUAGUCCCUGUCUCUUAUAC
This 301-nucleotide ribosomal RNA is filed under the name uncultured bacterium. RNAcentral describes it as "partial 16S ribosomal RNA". It matches the Rfam family "Bacterial small subunit ribosomal RNA", at positions 509 to 807 of the family's 1533-position model. The record is from RNAcentral.